CUCUACGGCGAUGACGUCAUGAACAAGACGCUCGGUUCCAACGCACAGUUCACCUGAUGAGGGUCCAUAUUGCAGCAAAUAAAUGCCCGGAGCUUCAACAUUUGGGAAGUGCUCCAUUGUGUGGAAAAACUCAACAGUGCAAAUAGAAGAUGCCCAAAGCUCUCUCUUGGUCAGUGUGGGAAACUGCUGGACCUGAAGUGCAGGAACAUAGCAC
This is a long non-coding RNA of Danio aesculapii, 214 nucleotides long. RefSeq lists it as uncharacterized. The transcript has 3 exons. Lineage: Eukaryota; Metazoa; Chordata; Actinopteri; Cypriniformes; Danionidae. The record is from RefSeq and is a predicted model, not a curated record.